GCCAGGCAUGGUGGUGCAUGCCUGUAAUCCUAGCUACUUGGGAGGCUGAGAUGGGAGAAUUGCUUGAAUCCAGGAGGCAGAGGUUGCAUUGAGCUGAGAUUGCGCCACUGCACGCCAGCCUGGGUGACAGAGCAAGACUCCAUCUCAA
RNAcentral lists this non-coding RNA (148 nucleotides) under Homo sapiens (human). The record is from Rfam by way of RNAcentral. Lineage: Eukaryota; Metazoa; Chordata; Mammalia; Primates; Hominidae.